RNAcentral lists this ribosomal RNA (119 nucleotides) under Pteropus alecto (black flying fox). Lineage: Eukaryota; Metazoa; Chordata; Mammalia; Chiroptera; Pteropodidae. The record is from RNAcentral.
GUCUAUGGCCACGCCGCCCUGAACAAGCCCGAUCCCAUCUGAUCUCGGAAGCUAAGCAGGAUUGGGCCUGGUUAGUACUUGGAUGAGAGACUACCUAGGAAGACCAGGUGCUGUAGGCA